RNAcentral lists this ribosomal RNA (253 nucleotides) under uncultured bacterium. RNAcentral's name for it is "partial 16S ribosomal RNA". It matches the Rfam family "Bacterial small subunit ribosomal RNA", at positions 524 to 776 of the family's 1533-position model. The record is from RNAcentral.
UACUGAGGGGGCAAGCGUUGUUCGGAAUUACUGGGCGUAAAGGGCGCGUAGGCGGCCUGCUAAGUCGAACGUGAAAUCCCCGGGCUCAACCCGGGAACUGCGUCCGAUACUGGCAGGCUUGAAUCCGGGAGAGGGAUGCGGAAUUCCAGGUGUAGCGGUGAAAUGCGUAGAUAUCUGGAGGAACACCGGUGGCGAAGGCGGCAUCCUGGACCGGUAUUGACGCUGAGGCGCGAAAGCCAGGGGAGCAAACGGG